AUACAUGCAAGUCGAGCGGACAGAUUGGGAAGCUUUGCUCCCUGAUGUUAGCGGCGGACGGGUGAGUAACACGUGGGUAACCUGCCUGUAAGAGUGGGAGAACUCCGGGAAACCGGGGCUAAUACCGGAGGCUUGUUUGAACCGCAUGGUUCAAACAUAAAAGGUGGCUUCGGCUACCACUUACAGAUGGACCCGCGGCGCAUUAGCUAGUUGGUGAGGUAACGGCUCACCAAGGCAACGAUGCGUAGCCGACCUGAGAGGGUGAUCGGCCACACUGGGACUGAGACACGGCCCAGACUCCUACGGGAGGCAGCAGUAGGGAAUCUUCCGCAAUGGACGAAAGUCUGACGGAGCAACGCCGCGUGAGUGAUGAAGGUUUUCGGAUCGUAAAGCUCUGUUGUUAGGGAAGAACAAGUACCGUUCAAUAGGGCGGUACCUUGACGGUACCUAACCAGAAAGCCACGGCUAACUACGUGCCAGCAGCCGCGGUAAUACGUAGUGGCAAGCGUUGUCCGGAAUUAUUGGGCGUAAAGGGCUCGCAGGCGGUUUCUUAAGUCUGAUGUGAAAGCCCCGGCUCACCGGGGAGGGUCAUUGGAAACUGGGGAACUUGAGUGCAGAGAGAGAGU
This 626-nucleotide ribosomal RNA is filed under the name Bacillus sp. (in: firmicutes). RNAcentral's name for it is "bacterial SSU rRNA". It matches the Rfam family "Bacterial small subunit ribosomal RNA", at positions 51 to 660 of the family's 1533-position model. Lineage: Bacteria; Bacillati; Bacillota; Bacilli; Caryophanales; Bacillaceae. The record is from RNAcentral.